This 468-nucleotide ribosomal RNA is filed under the name uncultured bacterium. RNAcentral's name for it is "partial 16S ribosomal RNA". It matches the Rfam family "Bacterial small subunit ribosomal RNA", at positions 28 to 507 of the family's 1533-position model. The record is from RNAcentral.
GACGAACGCUGGCGGCGUGCUUAACACAUGCAAGUCGAACGGAAAGGCCCUGCUUUUGUGGGGUGCUCGAGUGGCGAACGGGUGAGUAACACGUGAGUAACCUGCCCUUGACUUUGGGAUAACUUCAGGAAACUGGGGCUAAUACCGGAUAGGAGCUCCUGCUGCAUGGUGGGGGUUGGAAAGUUUCGGCGGUUGGGGAUGGACUCGCGGCUUAUCAGCUUGUUGGUGGGGUAGUGGCUUACCAAGGCUUUGACGGGUAGCCGGCCUGAGAGGGUGACCGGCAACAUUGGGACUGAGAUACGGCCCAGACUCAUACGGGAGGAAGCAGUGGGGAAUAUUGAAAAAUGGGCGGAAGCCUGAUGCAGCAACGCCGCGUGCGGGAUGACGGCCUUCGGGUUGUAAACCGCUUUCGCCUGUGACGAAGCGUGAGUGACGGUAAUGGGUAAAGAAGCACCGGCUAACUACGUG